GGCAUUGUAGCUCAGUGGUAGAGCACUUGCCCUGCAUCAACAAGGAUCUGGGUUUGAUUCCCAGCACCA
This 69-nucleotide transfer RNA is filed under the name Marmota marmota marmota (Alpine marmot). It matches the Rfam family "tRNA". From Rfam's summary of the family: Transfer RNA (tRNA) molecules are approximately 80 nucleotides in length. Their secondary structure includes four short double-helical elements and three loops (D, anti-codon, and T loops). Further hydrogen bonds mediate the characteristic L-shaped molecular structure. tRNAs have two regions of fundamental functional importance: the anti-codon, which is responsible for specific mRNA codon recognition, and the 3' end, to which the tRNAs corresponding amino acid is attached (by aminoacyl-tRNA synthetases). tRNAs cope with the degeneracy of the genetic code in two manners: having more than one tRNA (with a specific anti-codon) for a particular amino acid; and 'wobble' base-pairing, i.e. permitting non-standard base-pairing at the 3rd anti-codon position. Lineage: Eukaryota; Metazoa; Chordata; Mammalia; Rodentia; Sciuridae. RNAcentral also lists the same sequence under 1 other name. The record is from Rfam by way of RNAcentral.